This 253-nucleotide ribosomal RNA is filed under the name uncultured bacterium. Its description in RNAcentral is "partial 16S ribosomal RNA". It matches the Rfam family "Bacterial small subunit ribosomal RNA", at positions 524 to 776 of the family's 1533-position model. The record is from RNAcentral.
UACGGGGGGGGCAAGCGUUGUUCGGAAUUACUGGGCGUAAAGGGCUCGUAGGUGGCCAACUAAGUCAGACGUGAAAUCCCUCGGCUUAACCGGGGAACUGCGUCUGAUACUGGAUGGCUUGAGAUUGGGAGAGGGAUGCGGAAUUCCAGGUGUAGCGGUGAAAUGCGUAGAUAUCUGGAGGAAUACCGGUGGCGAAGGCGGCAUCCUGGACCGGCAUUGACGCUGAGGAGCGAAAGCUAGGGGAGCAAACGGG